UGCUGGUGAUGAGUCUCUGCUUCAUCGGCUUCGUUACGGCCCUCCACGUCUUCGGCAAGCUCUACCGCUAUCGAUCCACGGCUACCGGCGGUUCUUGAUCCGCCCGCCGCCUGAUCUGUCUGUAAAAGAUCUAAGCUUUCUUGUUUUCGUUUCCUUCCUUUUUAGGUCAAGCUCAAGCUUUCCUUUUGGACGAUCCUUCAAGACUGAAAUUUUCUGUCCUAGAAUAGAUCGUUUCCAGUUCAUGGUUCGAUCUAGAUCUUUCUUUAUGCGAUAAAGAUUCUGUCUUUUUUUUGUGUCUAUCAUUUUGCUGAUCGGCUUACGUUCUUGGAUGGUGGAUUUGCUUGCAAUUUAUGGAUGAGAUGAUGAUUGAUAAAUGUCAAAGGCUGUAGAUAUACCUGAAUUCGGGCUGAUGUAUGUGUGGGAACGUUAUGAUGAUAUUUCUGCAUAUAGAAAAUAAGCAAUGAAUUCAUUAGAAGAGCAUAUUUGUUAAUUUAUCUAUGAAGCAAUAAACCAAUACAUUAUUUUGCAGUCUUCAUCAUCUAGCAUUUAAUAAAUCUCAACAUUCAUGAUCCCCGUUUGCAGAUCUGCUGGCUUUUAUUAUUAUGGAUCGGUUAAUUUGACCUCCUUUAUUUCUGCAUUGAUUUGUAUAUAACUUCGAAUCUUAAUGAACCAAAAUCCUUUUAUCAUUUUCUUUCUCGUGAUUCUGCUGCUCUCUUUGGGGGAGUUUGCAUUUUUUCCCCCCUCCAAAAGCCAAAAAAUUAUUAACUAGAUAUAGGUCAAGUAACAGCAGUUGCUAUGCAAGUGAUGAAAUAAUUUUGAUGCAGUAUUUGUUGUGAAUGGUUCCCAGAUUAGGAGUCCUGAAUAUUUAACCUAUUGCUUAUCAGCUUUAGAUGCGAAUGCGCUUUGCGACAGAGAGUGGUAGGCUUGCAUUUUUGCAUAAAUUUGAAUAAAGCAGAAAUUAUAUGGGAUUAUUAAACUUCCCAAUCUUUAGAGUGCAAUGGCUUUUGAGUAUCAAGGGCGAGGACAUGCCAAAAUGGGAGGCUUGCAAGGUUGUCACUGCCAGGUCACGUUUACCUAUUGAUAUAAGAGUGUGAUCUGAGAAUCCCAUCAAAGAGUAAAGAGUUUAGCUAAAUGCCUAUAUCAGGAGGAUAAUCCCAUGUAACAACCAUAGGAGGUAUCUAUGUUGAAAGCAACAACUAGUAGAGUCAGGGGAAUAGGAAUUACUUCCUAAUCAUAUGUAAUUCGACCUAAUCUAUUGUCUGUAUUCUAUGGCUUGUAGGCUCUUCCUUCACUUACUGUGGUGAAGAAUUGGUUUCUACAAGUGGAUCUCCUACUACUCACUCCCGUAUCCUAAACAGUUAAAUGUAUGGAAAGUGAGAAGAAAAGAAUUUUACUUGCAUGCAAGGCCCUCACAUUUUUUCCCUUUUUACUUUUUAUCUUCUUGCCGGCAGGUUUAUAUUAAUGUUUUCUGCUUCCUCUCACCUGCUGGUGCAUUGUUUUGCUCAAUUUUUUUAUUGAUUUGUUUUCUCUUCUGUUGUUUAAUAUCUUUUGUCCUCUUCUGAGGUGCCCUUGCCUUAUUAUCCUCUUUCUAAUUGGCAUUUUGCUCCCUCUUUUCCAUCUUAUAUAGAUUUGUCUGUUCCCUUUUCUUUUUCUCUUUUAAAAUAGAGUUUAUCAUUUUAAACAAGUAGUCCAUUAUUAUGUUAAUUUGAAGUAUGUUACAGAGAAGAGUGUGAAUGCAUGCACAAUGUAUUCGGUAGAAUUAUGAAUAUUGAGAUGGACGUUCUGUGAAAUUGGGGAGAAUAAAGAGUAUGAUGGAGGAGGAGGCUUAUGGGCGGAGUUGCUGAGAACUUAGUUAUGGAAUCCAUAUAUUGAUGGUUUGGCCCCAACUACUGAGGGCUUAAGUUAACAUGGAUAAGAGAGGAGGGGGGCUAUAGAAUAAUGGACUAGAGUUGUCAUGAAUGCUUUUCAAAAGUCAUUAAGUGGAAAGAGAAGGACUUAUGCAUCUAAUCCUGUAUAAUUGGAUAAGAAUUGUUGCUAAUUGUCAUGGUAUGCUUUCCUCUCAGACUUGUUCUUGACAUGGUUUAGAGCUAUUAAGUCAAUGCAGGGGAUCAGAAUCCCAGAUAGAAGGUUUCAUCUAACAUCUGUUGGAGUUUGCUUCUUGGUAGUGAUUGAUCUAUAUAUAGAAGACCUAUUGGUUCUAGAUUACCAGGCCUUGAAAGAGUUUACAAAGAACAAGAAAGCAAAGUGCUUUACCAAAAUUUUAUAAGAAGUCAAUAGGACAGGAGAUAGCAUUCGUAUGCUUCUGCUUUUCUAUACACAAUAAGAAAAUCUCUUUAGGGAGACAUAAGAAUGAAAUUUGGUAAUGGAUGCAAAAUUGUUUUCUAAAAAUGUCCGUGGACCAAGCUAGUUUCCAUGCUUUAAAUGAGUACCCGUAAAAGCAAAUUAGACCUAAUUGUUAUGAUGAAAUUGCAUUCAGUUCUCUGUUGACAUUUUUGAACUAUGUAUGGAUAAGUUCUUUGUUCAAGAUGUAGAUUGUCACAGUUUUUUUUGUCCCAUUAUCAUCUUUGAUUAAAAGAAAAUGCUAAUCACAAGUUCUUCCAGAUUGCCUUUAUGGAGUUCUGGAAUUUCUUUUUGGUGCCGCUUUUCAUUUCUUUAAUCAUAUCAAUUAUUUCUUGCACACCCCCCUUCCUUCCACUCCCCCUCAAAGCAUUUAAGUCUAGAUUUUGACAAUACUGUAAGUUUGUCAGAAGAAAAAUAUAUCAUAUGAUGGCAGUGGGAAUAACUGCACUGUGCAUGUGAAUGUCUGGUUUGCUUGUACUCAUAAGACUCGGACAUGUACACAAAAGACAGAAACAGAAACAUGCAUGCACAUCUACAUUUUUAUUUACUCUUACUGAUGAGAUCCUUAGAGAUUUACCUGAGUAUCAUUUCUCCUGUUGAGGAUGAAGGUGAGAUCCUUGGGCUUUUAUAUUCAAUUGUCAUUUCUGUUGCCUGGAAUAAAAGAGAUAUUAAAACAAUUAAUUGGAGCCAUGUCCAUUUUAUUGAUCAUUGCCAUAGAUCUGUGACUCUGUCGGCAAGGUUUGCCAUGUGUGAUGUGGAAAUGAAUGCUUAACCUGAGAUCAGUAGGGUGAAGAGGAGGCAGAGAGUUCUUUUGCUUGGCAACUUAUUUUUUUCCCCUAUAGUAUUUUGUUUUGCAAUUUUUCCCCUGGUAAGUCUGCAGUAUCUUUCCCAACUUAAAUUAGUCCUAUUAUCCAGUGUGGUCUUUUGCAUUCUAUGUAGCUUUAAUUUUCCACGUUUCGUCGUUGAUCCCUCUUUGUGCAUUUGGUAUUUGAGUUUUGUCUGAUCUCUGUUUUGUUAUUUUACUUUUAUCUAUAUAGCAGUUAUGUUCGAAAACACUGAUUCUCUAUCUGGUUAAAAUUGUUCUUUUGCCUAUUAAAAUGUUCGGAUCAGAUCGCUUAGGAUUAUCCUAAUCUUUGUUCCUGCCAAAUCUGUCAUCCUAGCCUGGAUCCAAUUUUUUUUCCAUCAAAUCUUGGAUUAUCAAUCAAUCGAUGAUAUCAUCAAAUAUACAUCUCCUAGAAAUAAAAAGAAAAUCUGACCAUUAUAUUCUCAUACCAGGUAUCUUUUUUUGGUUCACAUCACCUAGCAUUACCCUACUUUUAGUUUUGCUUUCAUUUUAUUAAUGCUUUUUGAGGGAAUUCAUUUUAUAAAUGUGUUCAUUGAAUAGAAGCCUGACCUGCAUAUUAU
Molecule: long non-coding RNA, 3744 nt
Filed under: Phoenix dactylifera (date palm)
Lineage: Eukaryota; Viridiplantae; Streptophyta; Magnoliopsida; Arecales; Arecaceae
Description: long non-coding RNA (PDAC_LNC001632)
Source: RNAcentral